This 254-nucleotide ribosomal RNA is filed under the name uncultured bacterium. RNAcentral's name for it is "partial 16S ribosomal RNA". It matches the Rfam family "Bacterial small subunit ribosomal RNA", at positions 524 to 776 of the family's 1533-position model. The record is from RNAcentral.
CACGUAGGGUGCGAGCGUUGUCCGGAAUUAUUGGGCGUAAAGAGCUCGUAGGCGGUGUGUCGCGUCGGCCGUGAAAACCUGCAGCUUAACUGUGGGCGUGCGGUCGAUACGGGCAUCACUGGAGUUCGGCAGGGGAGACUGGAAUUCCUGGUGUAGCGGUGAAAUGCGCAGAUAUCAGGAGGAACACCGGUGGCGAAGGCGGGUCUCUGGGCCGAUACUGGCGCUGAGGAGCGAAAGCGUGGGGAGCAAACGGG